Molecule: ribosomal RNA, 918 nt
Filed under: uncultured Bacillota bacterium
Lineage: Bacteria; Bacillati; Bacillota
Description: bacterial SSU rRNA
Rfam family: Bacterial small subunit ribosomal RNA
Source: RNAcentral
UGGAUCCAGACUUUGAUCCUGGCUCAGGACGAACGCUGGCGGCGUGCUUAACACAUGCAAGUCGAACGGAGCACCCCUGAAGGAGUUUUCGGACAACGGAAGGGAAUGCUUAGUGGCGGACUGGUGAGUAACGCGUGAGGAACCUGCCUUCCAGAGGGGGACAACAGUUGGAAACGACUGCUAAUACCGCAUGACACAUGACCGUGGCAUCACGGACAUGUCAAAGAUUUAUCGCUGGAAGAUGGCCUCGCGUCUGAUUAGCUGGUUGGCGGGGUAACGGCCCACCAAGGCGACGAUCAGUAGCCGGACUGAGAGGUUGACCGGCCACAUUGGGACUGAGAUACGGCCCAGACUCCUACGGGAGGCAGCAGUGGGGAAUAUUGGGCAAUGGGCGCAAGCCUGACCCAGCAACGCCGCGUGAAGGAAGAAGGCUUUCGGGUUGUAAACUUCUUUUAAGAGGGAAGAGCAGAAGACGGUACCUCUUGAAUAAGCCACGGCUAACUACGUGCCAGCAGCCGCGGUAAUACGUAGGUGGCAAGCGUUGUCCGGAUCUACUGGGUGUAAAGGGCGUGCAGCCGGGAGUUCAAGUCAGAUGUGAAAUCCCGCGGCUUAACCGCGGAACUGCAUUUGAAACUGAAUUUCUUGAGUACCGGAGAGGUCAUCGGAAUUCCUUGUGUAGCGGUGAAAUGCGUAGAUAUAAGGAAGAACACCAGUGGCGAAGGCGGAUGACUGGACGGCAACUGACGGUGAGGCGCGAAAGCGUGGGGAGCAAACAGGAUUAGAUACCCUGGUAGUCCACGCUGUAAACGAUCGAUACUAGGUGUGCGGGGACUGACCCCCUGCGUGCCGCAGUUAACACAAUAAGUAUCGCACCUGGGGAGUACGAUCGCAAGGUUGCAACUCAAAGGAAUUGACGGA